RNAcentral lists this small nucleolar RNA (81 nucleotides) under Plicaturopsis crispa FD-325 SS-3. RNAcentral describes it as "Small nucleolar RNA snR56". It matches the Rfam family "Small nucleolar RNA snR56". Lineage: Eukaryota; Fungi; Basidiomycota; Agaricomycetes; Amylocorticiales; Amylocorticiaceae. The record is from Rfam by way of RNAcentral.
UACCUUGAUGACAAAACUUCUCAGACCUGUACCGAACCCUCACGGGGAUGCGGAUACACAGAUUGCCUUUUUUACCUGAUC